RNAcentral lists this ribosomal RNA (944 nucleotides) under uncultured bacterium. RNAcentral's name for it is "bacterial SSU rRNA". It matches the Rfam family "Bacterial small subunit ribosomal RNA", at positions 9 to 962 of the family's 1533-position model. The record is from RNAcentral.
GAGUUUGAUCCUGGCUCAGAACGAACGUUGGCGGCGUGGAUUAGGCAUGCAAGUCGAACGAAUCCCAGGGGGCUUGCUCUCUGGGGGAAGUGGCGAAAGGGGCAGUAAGGCGUGGGUAACCUACCCCGGGGACGGGGAUAGCCAUUCCAACGAGUGGGUAAUACCCGGCGAUGUGUCGAGGAGACAUCUCCUUGCCACGAAAGGAAUUUCGCCUCGGGAGGGGCUCACGUGGUAUUAGCUAGUUGGUAGGGUAACGGCCUACCAAGGCGAAGAUGCCUAGCGGGUGUGAGAGCACGACCCGCGCCACUGGCACUGAGACACUGGCCAGACUCCUACGGGAGGCUGCAGUCGAGGAUCUUCGGCAAUGGGCGCAAGCCUGACCGAGCGACGCCGCGUGUGCGAUGAAGGCCUUCGGGUUGUAAAGCACUGUCGAGGGGGAGGAAGCCGCAAGGUUGACCUAUCCCUGGAGGAAGGACGGGCUAAGUUCGUGCCAGCAGCCGCGGUAAGACGAACCGUCCUAACGUUGUUCGGAAUCACUGGGCUUAAAGGGCGCGUAGGCGGAUCAUCAAGUCCGGGGUGAAAUCUUUCGGCUCAACCGGAAAAGUGCCUUGGAUACUGGUGGUCUGGAGGGAGGUAGGGGCAUGUGGAACUUCCGGUGGAGCGGUGAAAUGCGUUGAUAUCGGAAGGAACUCCGGUGGCGAAAGCGACGUGCUGGACCUCUUCUGACGCUGAGGCGCGAAAGCUAGGGGAGCAAACGGGAUUAGAUACCCCGGUAGUCCUAGCCCUAAACGAUGGGUACUAGGUAGUGGACUUAACAUGGGUUCACUGCCGAAGCAAAAGUGUUAAGUACCCCGCCUGGGGAGUAUGGUCGCAAGGCUGAAACUCAAAGGAUUGACGGGGGCUCACACAAGCGGUGGAGCAUGUGGCUUAAUUCGAGGCUACCC